RNAcentral lists this transfer RNA (88 nucleotides) under Methylomonas koyamae. RNAcentral describes it as "tRNA-Tyr". Lineage: Bacteria; Pseudomonadati; Pseudomonadota; Gammaproteobacteria; Methylococcales; Methylococcaceae. The record is from RNAcentral.
GGCCUGGGUGGCCAGGCGCAAGCGCUCGCUAUAAUUGCGCAGCGUUUCUUCGGCGAUGCGUUGCUCGGUUAUGUCCCUGGCCAGGCCG